This 714-nucleotide long non-coding RNA is filed under the name Capsicum annuum. RNAcentral describes it as "long non-coding RNA (CANN_LNC020611)". The record is from RNAcentral. Lineage: Eukaryota; Viridiplantae; Streptophyta; Magnoliopsida; Solanales; Solanaceae.
CUUUUCUCAAAAAUUAAGCACAAAUCUCUCACACUCACAACUCCCAUUCAUAGAACACACAACAAUGGAGAAUUUCAUUCAUACACACACUCCACAUAUAAUACAGUGAAGAAAAAUUAUACAUACACACUCCACGAUAGAGGAAAAAACAUAGGGAGAAUAGACUUGAGAAGGCCAGGACAGUGAAGAAAAAGGGCAAAAAUGGUCUAAGAAUAUUCAAGAGGUGACUGGAACAGCAUCACCGAUGAAAUCUGGUUACCUUCGAGUAUUUCCGGUGAAAUUUCUCGCCGAAAUUGGUGUUCCGUUAGUCAACUUGACCAAUUUCCAUCUUCACACUCUCAUAAUUUGACACUCCACUACACGAUAUACACACAAUUUCACACACACAAUACAGAGAAGCAAAUGAAAGACUCCAUUUUCUUCUUCCAGAAUAUAUACACACGGUUACAAUACACACACAGACUCACACAAUUCCACACACACCAAUCCUUCAGCCAAUUAAAAAACACAUUAAAGAAAUUUAAAAAAAAAAAAGAAAUACCCAUAAUCUUCUUCUCCAUUAAUGAAUAAGUGAAGUGAAGAAGGGGAAGAAGUAUAUUGUUGGAUAUUAUUGGGUAUCGGCGGAAUCGAAGUGCUUCAAUGAUGGGGAAAGGGGUAUCGACGAAAUCAAAGUGCUCAAUAGUGAGGAAAGGGGUAUCUAUGGAAGAAGAAGAA